Molecule: non-coding RNA, 241 nt
Organism: Pelobates cultripes (western spadefoot toad)
Lineage: Eukaryota; Metazoa; Chordata; Amphibia; Anura; Pelobatidae
Source: the annotation of a GenBank genome assembly
CUCUCCACUGUGGUAUGAGGUAUGGAUCACAACAAAGCAGCUAGUGGCAAUUCUUAUUCCAUUUAGGGAUGUGACAGACACUUGCUCACCCACCUCAGGAUGGAUGCCUUCAUAGAAAAGAUGGAAGUUGUUACAGUGGUUAGGAGGCUGAAGCAUGUCCUAAUGAACAAGUUCUAAUUGCAGUGAACUAAUGCUAGCUUCCAUAUGUGAUCACUUUAUCACUCAUGGCAUAGACUGUGAC